Molecule: unclassified non-coding RNA, 238 nt
Filed under: Hevea brasiliensis (rubber tree)
Lineage: Eukaryota; Viridiplantae; Streptophyta; Magnoliopsida; Malpighiales; Euphorbiaceae
Source: RNAcentral
GGGAAUUCCUCUUUUAAUAUCUCCAGGCUUGAUUGGGGAGGGGCUGGGCUCUACCCCUUUCUUCUUUCCAUCCAGUCUAUUGCCAGAUCCAGAGAAAGCGCGGAAGCCCAGCUCUCCAGCAUAGCCACUGUGGUCGGCUUCACCUUCUGUCGACUCCUCAUGCUGGACUUGUCUUUCGGGUUCUUUGUAGCCCAGGGGAGCAUCAAAGUCCACGUUCAUGUCACACUCAAUGAUGGAC